RNAcentral lists this long non-coding RNA (2232 nucleotides) under Homo sapiens (human). RNAcentral describes it as "non-protein coding lnc-NUP85-2:1". The stretch from base 1729 to 1845 matches the Rfam family "Metazoan signal recognition particle RNA". The record is from RNAcentral. Lineage: Eukaryota; Metazoa; Chordata; Mammalia; Primates; Hominidae.
AUAAUCAAAAUGGCUUCCAGCUGGUCCUCGGUGGGAACGAUGAGGCUCGAGGCUUUAGACGUAAGCCAUAGGCCAGGGAAGGCAGACUUACUAGAGGAGGAAGGGGAUUCCUAAAUCAAAGCCCCAGCAUGAGGUUCUGGAAAAAUCUCUCUCAUUCAGUGGACCAGCAGCCCUCCCAUGGUUACUUCCUCUCAGUCAAUCUCAACCUGCUUCCCACCGGACUCUUGCCUAAAAUGCAGUGUCUUCUUCUUCUUCUUCUUCUUCUUUUUUUUGAGACGGAGUCUCGCUCAGUCGCCCAGGCUGGAGUGCAGUGGCACGAUCUCGGCUCACAGCAACCUCUGCCUCCCGGGUUCAAGUGAUUCUCCUGCCUCAGCCUCCCGAGUAGCUGAGACUACAGGUACCCGCCACAACGCCCGGCUAAUUUUUCGUAGAGACGGGGUUUCACCGUGUUAGCCAGGAUGGUCUCGAUCUCCUGACCUCGUGAUCCGCCCGCCUCGGCCUCCCAAAGUGCUGGGAUUACAGGCGUGAGCCACCGCGCCCGGCCUACAGUGUCUUCUUCUGUCCUGCUGGUAACCCUAGACUUUGACUAGCUACGGGAAAAUAUUCAUGUAUUCAUUCAACGAGAUCCUUACUCAUCGCCUGUCUUCCAAGAGGAAACAGUAUCCAUAAGCGAGAACUACCCAACAAUCAAGCUUCCAGCCAAUUUAAUCCUUUCCUCGUUGCAUCCAGUUAAAACAUACACAUGCGUCCCUCCUGUCUGAAGAACAAUCCGAUGUGUGUGCACUGGAUUCCAUCUCGCUUCUUCCCCCGGGGCUUUAUUAUUUCCUUUUGUCCCUGAAUUUUCUUCCUCUCCUCCGUUAGUAUAGAAAAAAAAAAAAAAGCUCCCAAUUCUAUGAAGUUACCAUCCUAUCUCUCUCCAUUCUUGGCCAAACAGCUCGAAAAAAUGUCCCCGCCAGCUGUCUCCAACCCCUCCCCUCCCACUCACUCCUCAACCCACUGCAAUCUGGUGCUGUCCCCAAAGUUCCACUAAAACUGCUCUCCACAAGGUCACCGCAGACUUCUUUGCUGAAUCCAGUAUGCUUCUCAGUUUGUCACUCCUCUUGAACUUUGCAGGAGGUAGGUUUUCCUCUCAUCUCUAGCCUGUCCUUUGUUCUCUCUGCAAUUUUUUUUCUUACUCACUCCUUCCCUUAACUGUUCCUUAGGGUUUUCUUCAAGAUCCUUUUAUCACUCCAUUCCCUCUCCGAGGAUGAUUUCACCGAUUUUCAUUACCAUCUCUUUGCUAAUGAUCCUCAAAUCCAUUAUUUCUAGUCCACGUCUUUCUUCUGAGUUUCCAGUUGAUUUCUGAACAUCUCCACUUGGAUAUCCCAGAGGCACCUCAGACCCAGCAACUCUCAACUAAAACUCCUCACUUUACCUUCCACAUGGGUCCUUCUUCCUGACCUGUCACUCUUAAACUGAGUGACACACCACUACAACAGCUGCCCCAAGCUGGAAAGGCCAGCAACAUUCCUGACUUCUUCUCCUUCACACACUCCUCAUCCAAUCAAUCUUGGCCAAAUCUUGUCUAUUCCACCUUCUUACCAAAUCUAAUUUCUUUGGCCUCUGGAUGGAGCUGCAUUUGCUGGCCUUCUGUAGGUUCUCUUUGGGGAGGAAGAGGCUUAAGACCUUAGAUGUGUGAUAGGCCAAAGCAGGAAGACCAUCUAGUUCAGAUCAACACUCUCAAAAGAGGCCGGGCAUGGUGGCUCAUGCCUGUAAUCCCAGCACUUUGGGAGGCCGAGGUGGGAGGAUCACCUGAGGUCAGGAGUUCGAGAUCAGCCUGACCAACAUGGAGAAACCCUGUCUCUACUGAAAAUACAAAAUUAGCUGGGUGUGGUGGCGCAUGCCUGUAAUCCCAGCUACUCGGGAGGCUGAGGCGGAAGAAUCGCUUGAACCCGGGAGGAGGAGGUUGUGGUGAGCUGAGAUCUCACCAUUGCACUCCAGCCUGGGCAACAAGAGCGAAACUCCAUUAAAAAAAAAAAAAAAAAAAAACACUCUCAAGAGAUACUGCAAUAUCAGCCGGGCACGGUGGCUCAUGCCUGUAAUCCCAACACUUUGGGAGGCCGAGGCGGGCAAAUCACCUGAGGUCAGGAGUUUGAGACCAGACUAGCCAACAUGGUGAAACCCUCUGGUGGCUCACGCCUGUAAUCCCAGCACUUUGGGAGGCCGAGGCGGAUGGAUUGCCUGAGGUCAGGA